This 87-nucleotide transfer RNA is filed under the name Chloroflexota bacterium. RNAcentral's name for it is "Chloroflexi bacterium (groundwater metagenome) tRNA-Ser". It matches the Rfam family "tRNA". Rfam says of the family: Transfer RNA (tRNA) molecules are approximately 80 nucleotides in length. The record is from RNAcentral. Lineage: Bacteria; Bacillati; Chloroflexota.
GGAGGGGUGUCCGAGCGGCUUAUGGUAGCGGUCUUGAAAACCGCCGUCCCGGCAACGGGACCGUGGGUUCGAAUCCCACCCCCUCCG